GUUUGACCUCGGAUCAGGUAGGGAUACCCGCUGAACUA
RNAcentral lists this ribosomal RNA (38 nucleotides) under Curvularia spicifera. RNAcentral's name for it is "partial 28S ribosomal RNA". Lineage: Eukaryota; Fungi; Ascomycota; Dothideomycetes; Pleosporales; Pleosporaceae. The record is from RNAcentral.